RNAcentral lists this ribosomal RNA (678 nucleotides) under uncultured bacterium. RNAcentral describes it as "bacterial SSU rRNA". It matches the Rfam family "Bacterial small subunit ribosomal RNA", at positions 584 to 1251 of the family's 1533-position model. The record is from RNAcentral.
CAAGUCAGAUGUGAAAGCCUUCUGUUCAACGGGAGAAUUGCAUCUGAAACUGCUAAUCUUGAGUAUAGGAUGGGAGAAUGGAACUUCUGGUGGAGCGGUGAAAUGCGUAGAUAUCAGAAGGAACGCCGGCGGCGAAAGCGAUUCUCUGGCCUAUUACUGACACUCAGUGUGCGAAAGCUAGGGGAGCAAACGGGAUUAGAUACCCCGGUAGUCCUAGCCGUAAACGAUGGGCACUAAGUAGAGGGGAUUACCUAUGUUCUCUCUGCCGUAGCUAACGCAUUAAGUGCCCCGCCUGGGGAGUACGGCCGCAAGGCUAAAACUCAAAAGAAUUGACGGGGGCUCGCACAAGCGGUGGAGCAUGUGGCUUAAUUCGAUGUAACGCGAAAAACCUUACCGGGGCUUGACAUGAUAGAAGUAGGAACCUGAAAGGGGGACGAACGGUAUCCAGUCCGUAGCUAUUACAGGUGUUGCAUGGCUGUCGUCAGCUCGUGUCGUGAGACGUUGGGUUAAGUCCCCUAACGAGCGAAACCCUUGUUUUUAGUUACCAGCGGGUUAUGCCGGGUACUCUAGAAAGACUGCCGUCGUCAAGACGGAGGAAGGUGGGGAUGACGUCAAGUCAUCAUGGCCCUUAUGCCCCGGGCUGCACACGUGCUACAAUGGUCGGUACAGACGGAAGCG